UUAAGUUAUUAAGGGCGCACGGUGGAUGCCUUGGCACUAGAAGCCGAUGAAGGACGUUACUAACGACGAUAUGCUUUGGGGAGCUGUAAGUAAGCUUUGAUCCAGAGAUUUCCGAAUGGGGAAACCCAGCAUGAGUUAUGUCAUGUUAUCGAUAUGUGAAUACAUAGCAUAUCAGAAGGCACACCCGGAGAACUGAAACAUCUUAGUACCCGGAGGAAGAGAAAGAAAAUUCGAUUCCCUUAAUAGCGGCGAGCGAAACGGGAAGAGCCCAAACCAACAAGCUUGCUUGUUGGGGUUGUAGGACACUCUAUACGGAGUUACAAAGGACGACAUUAGACGAAUCAUCUGGAAAGAUGAAUCAAAGAAGGUAAUAAUCCUGUAGUCGAAAAUGUUGUCUCUCUUGAGUGGAUCCUGAGUACGACGGAGCACGUGAAAUUCCGUCGGAAUCUGGGAGGACCAUCUCCUAAGGCUAAAUACUCUCUAGUGACCGAUAGUGAACCAGUACCGUGAGGGAAAGGUGAAAAGCACCCCGGAAGGGGAGUGAAAUAGAACCUGAAACCGUGUGCUUACAAGUAGUCAGAGCCCGUUAAUGGGUGAUGGCGUGCCUUUUGUAGAAUGAACCGGCGAGUUACGAUUUGAUGCAAGGUUAAGCAGUAAAUGUGGAGCCGUAGCGAAAGCGAGUCUGAAUAGGGCGUUUAGUAUUUGGUCGUAGACCCGAAACCAGGUGAUCUACCCUUGGUCAGGUUGAAGUUCAGGUAACACUGAAUGGAGGACCGAACCGACUUACGUUGAAAAGUGAGCGGAUGAACUGAGGGUAGCGGAGAAAUUCCAAUCGAACCUGGAGAUAGCUGGUUCUCUCCGAAAUAGCUUUAGGGCUAGCCUCAAGUGAUGAUUAUUGGAGGUAGAGCACUGUUUGGACGAGGGGCCCCUCUCGGGUUACCGAAUUCAGACAAACUCCGAAUGCCAAUUAAUUUAACUUGGGAGUCAGAACAUGGGUGAUAAGGUCCGUGUUCGAAAGGGAAACAGCCCAGACCACCAGCUAAGGUCCCAAAAUAUAUGUUAAGUGGAAAAGGAUGUGGCGUUGCCCAGACAACUAGGAUGUUGGCUUAGAAGCAGCCAUCAUUUAAAGAGUGCGUAAUAGCUCACUAGUCGAGUGACACUGCGCCGAAAAUGUACCGGGGCUAAACAUAUUACCGAAGCUGUGGAUUGUCCUUUGGACAAUGGUAGGAGAGCGUUCUAAGGGCGUUGAAGCAUGAUCGUAAGGACAUGUGGAGCGCUUAGAAGUGAGA
This 1289-nucleotide ribosomal RNA is filed under the name Staphylococcus aureus subsp. aureus CIGC340D. RNAcentral describes it as "bacterial LSU rRNA". It matches the Rfam family "Bacterial large subunit ribosomal RNA", at positions 3 to 1293 of the family's 2925-position model. Lineage: Bacteria; Bacillati; Bacillota; Bacilli; Caryophanales; Staphylococcaceae. The record is from RNAcentral.